This 253-nucleotide ribosomal RNA is filed under the name uncultured bacterium. RNAcentral's name for it is "partial 16S ribosomal RNA". It matches the Rfam family "Bacterial small subunit ribosomal RNA", at positions 524 to 776 of the family's 1533-position model. The record is from RNAcentral.
UACGUAGGGUGCAAGCGUUGUCCGGAAUUAUUGGGCGUAAAGAGCUCGUAGGCGGUUUGUCGCGUCUGCCGUGAAAGUCCGGGGCUCAACUCCGGAUCUGCGGUGGGUACGGGCAGACUAGAGUGAUGUAGGGGAGACUGGAAUUCCUGGUGUAGCGGUGAAAUGCGUAGAUAUCCGGAAGAACACCGAUGGCGAAGGCAACCACCUGGGCCUGUACUGACGCUGAGGUACGAAAGCGUGGGGAGCAAACAGG